This 671-nucleotide ribosomal RNA is filed under the name Vibrio sp. RNAcentral's name for it is "bacterial SSU rRNA". It matches the Rfam family "Bacterial small subunit ribosomal RNA", at positions 344 to 1008 of the family's 1533-position model. The record is from RNAcentral. Lineage: Bacteria; Pseudomonadati; Pseudomonadota; Gammaproteobacteria; Vibrionales; Vibrionaceae.
GGAGGCAGCAGUGGGGAAUAUUGCACAAUGGGCGCAAGCCUGAUGCAGCCAUGCCGCGUGUGUGAAGAAGGCCUUCGGGUUGUAAAGCACUUUCAGUAGUGAGGAAGGUGGUGUAGUUAAUAGCUGCAUUAUUUGACGUUAGCGGCAGAAGAAGCACCGGCUAACUCCGUGCCAGCAGCCGCGGUAAUACGGAGGGUGCGAGCGUUAAUCGGAAUUACUGGGCGUAAAGCGCAUGCAGGUGGUUAGUUAAGUCAGAUGUGAAAGCCCGGGGCUCAACCUCGGAACUGCAUUUGAAACUGGCUGACUAGAGUACUGUAGAGGGGGGUAGAAUUUCAGGUGUAGCGGUGAAAUGCGUAGAGAUCUGAAGGAAUACCGGUGGCGAAGGCGGCCCCCUGGACAGAUACUGACACUCAGAUGCGAAAGCGUGGGGAGCAAACAGGAUUAGAUACCCUGGUAGUCCACGCCGUAAACGAUGUCUACUUGGAGGUUGUGGCCUUGAGCCGUGGCUUUCGGAGCUAACGCGUUAAGUAGACCGCCUGGGGAGUACGGUCGCAAGAUUAAAACUCAAAUGAAUUGACGGGGGCCCGCACAAGCGGUGGAGCAUGUGGUUUAAUUCGAUGCAACGCGAAGAACCUUACCUACUCUUGACAUCCAGAGAACUAGCAGAGAUG